Molecule: long non-coding RNA, 218 nt
Filed under: Spirodela polyrhiza (greater duckweed)
Lineage: Eukaryota; Viridiplantae; Streptophyta; Magnoliopsida; Alismatales; Araceae
Description: long non-coding RNA (SPOL_LNC001425)
Source: RNAcentral
GAGCAUGGAGUUUUGAGGUUUACUUCAGAUCGCUCCUAAGGAGAGGCCGUCAAGGUUAGUCAUCCAACACCAUCGUUCUAUCUAUGAGAAUAAUAGCAAGUAUCACAAGCUUUCACAUAGGAGAGAAGAGAGAGAGAAAGAGACGCAACAUGAUAGAGAGAAAAAAGAAAUGACGCAAUACUUUGCGAUGGAUAUAUCAUUCCAUACAUGUACACCCG